AUUGCAACCUCCGCCUCCUGGGUUCAAGCAAUUCUCAUGCCUCAGCCUCCUGAGUAGCUGGGAUUACAGGCGCCCGCCACCACUCCCAGCUAAUUUUUGUAUUUUUAGUAGGGACGAGGUUUCACCAUGUUGGUCAGGCUGGUGUCAAACUCCUGACCUCGUGACCUGCCCUCCUUGGCCUUCCAAAGUGCUGGGAUUACAGGCAUGAUGGAGAUGAUACUCCCUAAAUCACAAGGGUGUGGUGUGAAGAUGAAAUGGCUGCACAUGACAGAGGAGUUGGAGAACAGGAAGCAAGUGGAUCACUUGGAUGAGCUGUGAUGGGCCCAAGAAGAACUAAGCCAAUCACUCCAGGGGGCGUUUUCCCAGGAUCCAGGCAGAGAGCUGAUUCCAGCAUCCACGAUGUAUCCCCCUCCCCCUGUGGCCGGGGUCUCCAAGAGCCAGGCACCCACUGCAGAGCUUCCAAGCCCAGGCCCAUUUGAACACAGGAGGACUUUUGAGGUUCAUUUAACCCCAAAAUCAGUGAUUCUACAUCUCAAGCUCAUAUUUUGAAGUGUUUACAGUCUCGAGCUCCAAUUCCCUGCCGGGAAGAGCUGAAGCUGACCUCUGGCACCCCCUGCUUCUUCU
Molecule: long non-coding RNA, 624 nt
Filed under: Pan troglodytes (chimpanzee)
Lineage: Eukaryota; Metazoa; Chordata; Mammalia; Primates; Hominidae
Description: lincRNA
Source: RNAcentral